RNAcentral lists this ribosomal RNA (497 nucleotides) under uncultured bacterium. Its description in RNAcentral is "partial 16S ribosomal RNA". It matches the Rfam family "Bacterial small subunit ribosomal RNA", at positions 28 to 507 of the family's 1533-position model. The record is from RNAcentral.
GAUGAACGCUGGCGGCGUGCCUAAUACAUGCAAGUCGAGCGAACAGACGAGGAGCUUGCUCCUUUGACGUUAUCGGCGGACGGGUGAGUAACACGUGGUUAACCUACCUAUACGACUGGGAUAACUUCGGGAAACCGGAGCUAAUACCGGAUAAUAUUUCGAACCGCAUGGUUCGAUAGUGAAAGAUGGCUCUGCUAUCACUUAUAGAUGGACCUUCGCCGUAUUAGCUAGUUGGUAAGGUAACGGCUUACCAAGGCAACGAUACGUAGCCGACCUGAGAGGGUGAUCGGCCAAACGGGAACUGAGAAACGGUCCAGACUCCGACGGGAGGAAGCAGUAGGGAAUCUUCCGCAAUGGGCGAAAGCCUGACGGAGCAACGCCGCGGGAGGGAUGAAGGUCUACGGAUCGUAAAACUCUGUUAUUAGGGAAGAACAAACGUGUAAGUAACUGUGCACGUCUUGACGGUACCUAAUCAGAAAGCCACGGCUAACUACGUG